UCAGAUUGAACGCUGGCGGCAGGCUUAACACAUGCAAGUCGAGCGGAGAGAGGUAGCUUGCUACUGAUCUUAGCGGCGGACGGGUGAGUAAUGCUUAGGAAUCUGCCUAUUAGUGGGGGACAACAUUUCGAAAGGAAUGCUAAUACCGCAUACGUCCUACGGGAGAAAGCAGGGGAUCUUCGGACCUUGCGCUAAUAGAUGAGCCUAAGUCGGAUUAGCUAGUUGGUGGGGUAAAGGCCUACCAAGGCGACGAUCUGUAGCGGGUCUGAGAGGAUGAUCCGCCACACUGGGACUGAGACACGGCCCAGACUCCUACGGGAGGCAGCAGUGGGGAAUAUUGGACAAUGGGCGCAAGCCUGAUCCAGCCAUGCCGCGUGUGUGAAGAAGGCCUUAUGGUUGUAAAGCACUUUAAGCGAGGAGGAGGCUACUUUAGAUAAUACCUAGAGAUAGUGGACGUUACUCGCAGAAUAAGCACCGGCUAACUCUGUGCCAGCAGCCGCGGUAAUACAGAGGGUGCAAGCGUUAAUCGGAUUUACUGGGCGUAAAGCGCGCGUAGGCGGCUAAUUAAGUCAAAUGUGAAAUCCCCGAGCUUAACUUGGGAAUUGCAUUCGAUACUGGUUAGCUAGAGUGUGGGAGAGGAUGGUAGAAUUCCAGGUGUAGCGGUGAAAUGCGUAGAGAUCUGGAGGAAUACCGAUGGCGAAGGCAGCCAUCUGGCCUAACACUGACGCUGAGGUGCGAAAGCAUGGGGAGCAAACAGGAUUAGAUACCCUGGUAGUCCAUGCCGUAAACGAUGUCUACUAGCCGUUGGGGCCUUUGAGGCUUUAGUGGCGCAGCUAACGCGAUAAGUAGACCGC
RNAcentral lists this ribosomal RNA (854 nucleotides) under bacterium. RNAcentral's name for it is "bacterial SSU rRNA". It matches the Rfam family "Bacterial small subunit ribosomal RNA", at positions 24 to 872 of the family's 1533-position model. The record is from RNAcentral.